This 338-nucleotide long non-coding RNA is filed under the name Rattus norvegicus (Norway rat). RNAcentral describes it as "long non-coding RNA NONRATT014967". The record is from RNAcentral. Lineage: Eukaryota; Metazoa; Chordata; Mammalia; Rodentia; Muridae.
UUAUCAAUGGACAGAUCAUGGAAACAAACUAAACAGAAACACAAGGAAACUAACAGAAGUUAUGGACCAACUGGAUUUAACAUAUGUUGUUUUCAUCCUAAAACAAAAGAAAAUACCUUCUUCUCAGCACCUCAUGGUACCUUCUCCAAAACUGACCAUAUAAUCGAUCACAAAACAGGCCUCAACAGAUACAAGAAGAUUGAAAUAAUCCCAUGCAUCCUAUCAGAUCACCACAGACUAAGGCUGGUCUUUAAUUACAGCAAAAACGACAGAAAGCCCACAUACAUAUGGAAGUUGGACAACACUAUACUCAAUGAUAACUUGGUCAAGAAAGAAAU